This 465-nucleotide ribosomal RNA is filed under the name Vreelandella stevensii. RNAcentral's name for it is "partial 16S ribosomal RNA". It matches the Rfam family "Bacterial small subunit ribosomal RNA", at positions 338 to 795 of the family's 1533-position model. The record is from RNAcentral. Lineage: Bacteria; Pseudomonadati; Pseudomonadota; Gammaproteobacteria; Oceanospirillales; Halomonadaceae.
CCUACGGGAGGCAGCAGUGGGGAAUAUUGGACAAUGGGGGGAACCCUGAUCCAGCCAUGCCGCGUGUGUGAAGAAGGCCCUCGGGUUGUAAAGCACUUUCAGUGAGGAAGAACGCCUGGUGGUUAAUACCCAUCAGGAAAGACAUCACUCACAGAAGAAGCACCGGCUAACUCCGUGCCAGCAGCCGCGGUAAUACGGAGGGUGCGAGCGUUAAUCGGAAUUACUGGGCGUAAAGCGCGCGUAGGUGGCUUGAUAAGCCGGUUGUGAAAGCCCCGGGCUCAACCUGGGAACGGCAUCCGGAACUGUCAAGCUAGAGUGCAGGAGAGCAAGGUAGAAUUCCCGGUGUAGCGGUGAAAUGCGUAGAGAUCGGGAGGAAUACCAGUGGCGAAGGCGGCCUUCUGGACUGACACUGACACUGAGGUGCGAAAGCGUGGGUAGCAAACAGGAUUAGAUACCCCUGUAGUC